This 460-nucleotide ribosomal RNA is filed under the name uncultured bacterium. RNAcentral describes it as "partial 16S ribosomal RNA". It matches the Rfam family "Bacterial small subunit ribosomal RNA", at positions 338 to 795 of the family's 1533-position model. The record is from RNAcentral.
CCUACGGGAGGCAGCAGUGAGGAAUAUUGGUCAAUGGUCGAGAGACUGAACCAGCCAAGCCGCGUGAGGGAGGAAGGUACAGAGUAUCGUAAACCUCUUUUGUCAGGGAACAAAGACUGGGACGCGUCCCCGGAUGAGUGUACCUGAAGAAAAAGCAUCGGCUAACUCCGUGCCAGCAGCCGCGGUAAGACGGAGGAUGCGAGCGUUAUCCGGAUUUAUUGGGUUUAAAGGGUGCGGAGUCGGGUUGUUAAGUCAGCGGUGAAAGCCUGGGGCUCAACCCCCGCCCCGCAGUUGAUACUGGCAGUCUUGAGUAGGAGAGAGGUAUGCGGAAUUCGCGGUGUAGCGGUGAAAUGCAUAGAUAUCGCGAAGAACUCCGAUUGCGAAGGCAGCAUGCCGGAUCCACACUGACGCUGAGGCACGAAAGCGUGGGUAUCGAACAGGAUUAGAUACCCCGGUAGUC